GGCGGGGUAGCUCAGCUGGUUAGAGCGUGGGACUCAUAAGCCCGAGGUCGCGAGUUCGAGUCUCGCCUCCGCUACCA
This 77-nucleotide transfer RNA is filed under the name bacterium. RNAcentral describes it as "tRNA-Met". It matches the Rfam family "tRNA". From Rfam's summary of the family: Transfer RNA (tRNA) molecules are approximately 80 nucleotides in length. The record is from RNAcentral. RNAcentral also lists the same sequence under 2 other names.